Long non-coding RNA from Polypterus senegalus (gray bichir), 231 nucleotides. RefSeq lists it as uncharacterized. The record is from RefSeq and is a predicted model, not a curated record. NCBI's taxonomy places the organism in Eukaryota, Metazoa, Chordata, Cladistia, Polypteriformes, Polypteridae. The transcript is spliced from 3 exons.
AUGAUUUGUGGUAUAUUGAGGAAGCCGAUUUGCUGUCAGCGUUGAAGCCAGAAAAGUCCUUGCUGCUUGGAAGCUGAGAUGCCAGACUCCUGAAAGCAGCAGUUCUUCUGUUGGUGCCUCACCAGGACCUCCCGGAUCCUUUGUCUCCUUCACCCAGUUCAUCCUCUGUUACUGACAAUCCUGCUAUUUUUCCAAGACGGCUCAUGCUGAGUGUAGAUCGAAACAUUGUAA